AUUGAACGCUGGCGGCAUGCCUAACACAUGCAAGUCGAACGGCGGCAUGAAAUGGGAUAACCCAUUUUGAUGGCGAGUGGCGGACGGGUGAGUAAUAUGUAGGAAUCUACCUAGAGGUGCGGGAUAACUUAGGGAAACUUAAGCUAAUACCACAUAAGCCCUACGGGGGAAAGCAGGGGACCGCAAGGCCUUGCGCCUUAUGAUGAGCCUACAUCGGAUUAGCUUGUUGGUGGGGUAAAGGCCUACCAAGGCGACGAUCCGUAGCUGGUCUGAGAGGAUGAGCAGCCACACUGGGAAUGAGACACGGCCCAGACUCCUACGGGAGGCAGCAGUGGGGAAUAUUGGACAAUGGGCGCAAGCCUGAUCCAGCAAUGCCGCGUGUGUGAAGAAGGCCUUAGGGUUGUAAAGCACUUUCAGUGGGGAGGAAGUUGAGUUUGCUAAUACCAGAUUCAAUUGACGUUACCCACAGAAGAAGCACCGGCUAACUCUGUGCCAGCCGCCGCAGUAA
Molecule: ribosomal RNA, 508 nt
Filed under: uncultured bacterium
Lineage: Bacteria
Description: partial 16S ribosomal RNA
Rfam family: Bacterial small subunit ribosomal RNA
Source: RNAcentral